UGAGGAGGAGAUGUUGGUUCUGGGAAGGAAGCUUGGGAUUUGGGUAUUCAGGAUCCAGAAGUGAGAGAGCCUGGGAAGUUCAGGAACCAGAGAAAGAAAAAGACUUGCCCAUUCUCACCCAUGACCCUGUGCUCAGCAGGUGCUAGAAGAGACUUCAGGCUCCGUGACUAAAAGGCGUCAGACCAGUUGAUAUACCCACAGCUGCCAUGUAUUUCAGGACAGCCAGGAGGGGGCGCACAUCCGCCGAGAAACUGUGGGCAAGAGCGUCUGUGCGGAACCACGGAGCCACCAGAGGGCGCGCGAUCCCGCCCCAACGAACUUCCCGCUGAGGUGCCAGAAGCAGCCAGGAGCUUCAACUUCCUCAGGGCAGCACGAGGGUCGUGUUAACUUGGUGUUCUUCAUUGAGACGGGGUUUCACCGUGUUAGCCAGGAUGGUCUCGAUCUCCUGACCUCGCGAUCCGCCCGCCUCGGCCUCCCAAAGUGCUGGGAUUACAGGCGUGAGCCACCGCGCCCGGCCUCAGCUGGUUUUUCAAAAGUCAUGGCGUGUAAUUGUCAGAACAGUGAACUUCGGAGAUCCACCGGAGGGGCGAGGCCACAGCUCAACCGCGAGCACCUGAGCAUCCUGCACCGCCUGCGACGGCCGUCAGGGGGCGCGAUGCCGCCUCACAGAACCUCAAGAGGCGCCCGAGUUCCGGCACAGAAGCCCGGCGGCUCCAGGGGGCGGAGCCGAGCCGCCUCCUCAGGACCUACGCAGGAGGCGCCGUCAUCCCUACAGGGACACCCGAGAGGACCCAGCCUCCUCCUCCUCAGGACCCACUCGGGAGACGUCGCUGGCUCUAUAGGAACACCUGGGGACCGUGGCCAGGGACCACCCAGCCUCCUUCUCCUCAGCUCCUCAGGAACGACUGGGGAAGCUGUGGCUUCAUGGUCCCCGAGGCUGCCCGAGGAAAGGUAUUUCAGGACAGCCAGGAGGGGGCGCACAUCCGCCGAGAAACUGUGGGCAAGAGCGUCUGUGCGGAACCACGGAGCCACCAGAGGGCGCGCGAUCCCGCCCCAACGAACUUCCCGCGGAGGUGCCAGAAGCAGCGAGGAGCUUCAACUUCCUCAGGGCAGCACGAGGGUCGUGUUACCUUGGUGUUCUUCAUUGGUGAGUAAAAAGCUCCUGUCCACGGCCCUGAGUGCCAAGGAGUGAGUAUUUAGAGUACUCUGCAGAGGAAGAACUUCAUCUAGAAAAAGA
Gorilla gorilla gorilla (western lowland gorilla) is the source of this 1237-nucleotide long non-coding RNA. RefSeq lists it as uncharacterized. Lineage: Eukaryota; Metazoa; Chordata; Mammalia; Primates; Hominidae. The record is from RefSeq and is a predicted model, not a curated record. The transcript is spliced from 4 exons.